GAUGAACGCUGGCGGCGUGCUUAACACAUGCAAGUCGAACGGAAAGGCCCAAGCUUGCUUGGGUACUCGAGUGGCGAACGGGUGAGUAACACGUGGGUGAUCUGCCCUGCACUUCGGGAUAAGCCUGGGAAACUGGGUCUAAUACCGGAUAGGACCACAUUUUGGAUGGUGUGGUGGAAAGUUUUUCGGUGUGGGAUGAGCUCGCGGCCUAUCAGCUUGUUGGUAGGGUAAUGGCCUACCAAGGCGUCGACGGGUAGCCGGCCUGAGAGGGUGUACGGCCACAUUGGGACUGAGAUACGGCCCAGACUCCUACGGGAGGCAGCAGUGGGGAAUAUUGCACAAUGGGCGCAAGCCUGAUGCAGCGACGCCGCGUGGGGGAUGACGGCCUUCGGGUUGUAAACUCCUUUCGCUAGGGACGAAGCGCAAGUGACGGUACCUGGAGAAGAAGCACCGGCUAACUACGUG
This 465-nucleotide ribosomal RNA is filed under the name uncultured bacterium. RNAcentral's name for it is "partial 16S ribosomal RNA". It matches the Rfam family "Bacterial small subunit ribosomal RNA", at positions 28 to 507 of the family's 1533-position model. The record is from RNAcentral.